Molecule: ribosomal RNA, 469 nt
Filed under: Bacillus proteolyticus
Lineage: Bacteria; Bacillati; Bacillota; Bacilli; Caryophanales; Bacillaceae
Description: bacterial SSU rRNA
Rfam family: Bacterial small subunit ribosomal RNA
Source: RNAcentral
ACAUCCUCUGAAAACCCUAGAGAUAGGGCUUCUCCUUCGGGAGCAGAGUGACAGGUGGUGCAUGGUUGUCGUCAGCUCGUGUCGUGAGAUGUUGGGUUAAGUCCCGCAACGAGCGCAACCCUUGAUCUUAGUUGCCAUCAUUAAGUUGGGCACUUUAAGGUGACUGCCGGUGACAAACCGGAGGAAGGUGGGGAUGACGUCAAAUCAUCAUGCCCCUUAUGACCUGGGCUACACACGUGCUACAAUGGACGGUACAAAGAGCUGCAAGACCGCGAGGUGGAGCUAAUCUCAUAAAACCGUUCUCAGUUCGGAUUGUAGGCUGCAACUCGCCUACAUGAAGCUGGAAUCGCUAGUAAUCGCGGAUCAGCAUGCCGCGGUGAAUACGUUCCCGGGCCUUGUACACACCGCCCGUCACACCUACGAGAGUUUGUACUCCCGGAGUCGGUGGGGUUAACCCUUUUUUAAAUGG